RNAcentral lists this ribosomal RNA (715 nucleotides) under uncultured Clavaria. RNAcentral describes it as "eukaryotic LSU rRNA". The stretch from base 282 to 435 matches the Rfam family "5.8S ribosomal RNA". The record is from RNAcentral. Lineage: Eukaryota; Fungi; Basidiomycota; Agaricomycetes; Agaricales; Clavariaceae.
CUUGGUCAUUUAGAGGAAGUAAAAGUCGUAACAAGGUUUCCGUAGGUGAACCUGCGGAAGGAUCAUUAUUGAUUUUUAAAGAUGUGCUGGCACUCCUUCACCGGUUUGCAUGUGCACUCUGCAAAAUCUCCUUCUCUUACCCCACUGUGCACACCCAAGUAGACAAACAGAGUUACAGAGCAAUCUGUGUAAUUCCUGAUUUGCCUAUGUUUUUAUCAAACACCAAUAACAAUAUCAGAAUGAUCUAUAUAGUAAGCUUUUAACAAGCUGAAAUUUAAUACAACUUUCAACAAUGGAUCUCUUGGUUCUCGCAUCGAUGAAGAACGCAGCGAAUUGCGAUAUGUAAUGUGAAUUGCAGAAUUCAGUGAAUCAUCGAAUCUUUGAACGCACCUUGCACCCUCUGGCAUUCCGGAGGGUAUGCCUGUUUGAGUGUCAUUAAUCUCUCAACACAAGAAACUUUGUCUUCUUGUGCUUGGAUAUUGAAGGUUUUGCUGGCGCAAACAACUGUCAGCUCCUUUUAAAUGUAUUAGCAGAGCAGUAUAGGACUGGCCUCGGUUUGAUAAGAAACUUUAUCUAUGCUGUCGCUGGGUUUUCCUCUUUGUGCUCAGCUUCAAAUUGUCUUCGGACUGUCUCUUGAGGCAACAAAAUCUCUAUUGAUCGACCUCAAAUCAGGUAGGACUACCCGCUGAACUUAAGCAUAUCAAUAAGCGGAGGA